RNAcentral lists this ribosomal RNA (858 nucleotides) under uncultured Bacteroidota bacterium. RNAcentral describes it as "bacterial SSU rRNA". It matches the Rfam family "Bacterial small subunit ribosomal RNA", at positions 1 to 852 of the family's 1533-position model. Lineage: Bacteria; Pseudomonadati; Bacteroidota. The record is from RNAcentral.
CCGCGGGAUUAGAGUUUGAUCCUGGCUCAGGAUGAACGCUAGCGGCAGGCUUAAUACAUGCAAGUCGUGGGGCAGCAUGGUGUAGCAAUACACUGAUGGCGACCGGCAAACGGGUGCGGAACACGUACGCAACCUUCCUUUAACUGGAGAAUAGCCCGGGGAAACCCGGAUUAAUACUCCGUAACAUUAUGAAGUGGCAUCACUUUAUAAUUAUAGCUCCGGCGGUUGAAGAUGGGCGUGCGUCUGAUUAGGUAGUUGGCGGGGUAACGGCCCACCAAGCCCACGAUCAGUAACUGGUGUGAGAGCACGACCAGUCACACGGGCACUGAGACACGGGCCCGACUCCUACGGGAGGCAGCAGUAAGGAAUAUUGGUCAAUGGACGCAAGUCUGAACCAGCCAUGCCGCGUGGAGGAUGAAGGUCCUCUGGAUUGUAAACUUCUUUUAUUUGGGAAGAAACCCACGAUUUCUAUUGUGGUUGACGGUACCAGAUGAAUAAGCACCGGCUAACUCCGUGCCAGCAGCCGCGGUAAUACGGAGGGUGCAAGCGUUAUCCGGAUUCACUGGGUUUAAAGGGUGCGUAGGCGGGCAGGUAAGUCCGUGGUGAAAUCUCCAAGCUUAACUUGGAAACUGCCGUGGAUACUAUUUGUCUUGAAUAUAGUGGAGGUGAGCGGAAUAUGUCAUGUAGCGGUGAAAUGCUUAGAUAUGACAUAGAACACCCAUUGCGAAGGCAGCUCGCUACACUAUUAUUGACGCUGAGGCACGAAAGCGUGGGGAUCAAACAGGAUUAGAUACCCUGGUAGUCCACGCCCUAAACGAUGAUUACUCGACAUCAGCGAUACACUGUUGGUGUCUGAGC